Molecule: ribosomal RNA, 441 nt
Filed under: uncultured bacterium
Lineage: Bacteria
Description: partial 16S ribosomal RNA
Rfam family: Bacterial small subunit ribosomal RNA
Source: RNAcentral
CCUACGGGUGGCAGCAGUGGGGAAUAUUGGGCAAUGGGCGCAAGCCUGACCCAGCAAUGCCGCGUGAAGGAAGAAGGCUUUCGGGUUGUAAACUUCUUUGACGGGGAAGAGCAGAAGACGGUACCCUGAAAACAAGCCACGGCUAACUCCGUGCCAGCAGCAGCGGUAAUACGUAGGGGGCAAGCGUUGUCCGGAUUUACUGGGUGAAAGGGGCGGGUAGCCGGGAAGGCAAGUCAGAUGUGAAAGCUGGAGGCUCAACCUCCAAAUUGCAUUUGAAACUGUUUUUGUUGAGUACUGGAGAGGCAGGCGGAAUUCCUGGUGUAGCGGUGAAAGGCGGAGAGAUAAGGAGGAACACCAGUGGCGAAGGCGGGCUGCUGGACAGCAACUGACGGUGAGGCGCGAAAGCGUGGGGAGCAAACAGGAUUAGAUACCCGAGUAGUC